RNAcentral lists this ribosomal RNA (468 nucleotides) under uncultured bacterium. RNAcentral's name for it is "partial 16S ribosomal RNA". It matches the Rfam family "Bacterial small subunit ribosomal RNA", at positions 28 to 507 of the family's 1533-position model. The record is from RNAcentral.
GACGAACGCUGGCGGCGUGCUUAACACAUGCAAGUCGAACGGAAAGGCCCUGCUUUUGUGGGGUGCUCGAGUGGCGAACGGGUGAGUAACACGUGAGUAACCUGCCCUUGACUUUGGGAUAACUUCAGGAAACUGGGGCUAAUACCGGAUAGGAGCUCCUGCUGCAUGGUGGGGGUUGGAAAGUUUCGGCGGUUGGGGAUGGACUCGCGGCUUAUCAGCUUGUUGGUGGGGUAGUGGCUUACCAAGGCAUUGACGGGUAGCCGGCCUGUGAGGGUGACCGGCCACAUUGGGACUGAGAUACGGCCCAGACUCCUACGGGAGGCAGCAGUGGGGAAUAUUGCACAAUGGGCGGAAGCCUGAUGCAGCAACGCCGCGUGCGGGAUGACGGCCUUCGGGUUGUAAACCGCUUUCGCCUGUGACGAAGCGUGAGUGACGGUAAUGGGUAAAGAAGCACCGGCUAACUACGUG